Molecule: ribosomal RNA, 600 nt
Filed under: uncultured beta proteobacterium
Lineage: Bacteria; Pseudomonadati; Pseudomonadota; Betaproteobacteria
Description: bacterial SSU rRNA
Rfam family: Bacterial small subunit ribosomal RNA
Source: RNAcentral
CAUGCAAGUCGAACGGCAGCACGGGGGCAACCCUGGUGGCGAGUGGCGAACGGGUGAGGAAUACAUCGGAACGUGUCUUCAAGUGGGGGAUAACGCAUCGAAAGGUGUGCUAAUACCGCAUAAUCUCUGAGGAGAAAAGCAGGGGAUCGCAAGACCUUGCGCUUUUAGAGCGGCCGAUGUCUGAUUAGCUUGUUGGUGAGGUAAAAGCUUACCAAGGCUUCGAUCAGUAGCUGGUCUGAGAGGACGACCAGCCACACUGGGACUGAGACACGGCCCAGACUCCUACGGGAGGCAGCAGUGGGGAAUUUUGGACAAUGGGGGCAACCCUGAUCCAGCCAUGCCGCGUGAGUGAAGAAGGCCUUCGGGUUGUAAAGCUCUUUCAGCCGGAACGAAACGGUUACAGUUAAUACCUGUGACUACUGACGGUACCGGAAGAAGAAGCACCGGCUAACUACGUGCCAGCAGCCGCGGUAAUACGUAGGGUGCGAGCGUUAAUCGGAAUUACUGGGCGUAAAGCGUGCGCAGGCAGUUUUGUAAGUCAGAUGUGAAAUCCCCGGGCUUAACCUGGGAACUGCGUUUGAAACUACAAGGCUAGAGUGU